UACGAAGGGAGCUAGCGUUGUUCGGAAUCACUGGGCGUAAAGCGCACGUAGGCGGAUUUGCCAGUCAGGGGUGAAAUCCCGGGGCUCAACCUCGGAACUGCCUUUGAUACAGCAAGUCUUGAGUUCGAGAGAGGUGGGUGGAAUUCCUAGUGUAGAGGUGAAAUUCGUAGAUAUUAGGAAGAACACCAGUGGCGAAGGCGGCUCACUGGAUCGGUACUGACGCUGAGGUGCGAAAGCGUGGGGAGCAAACAGG
This 253-nucleotide ribosomal RNA is filed under the name uncultured bacterium. RNAcentral's name for it is "partial 16S ribosomal RNA". It matches the Rfam family "Bacterial small subunit ribosomal RNA", at positions 524 to 776 of the family's 1533-position model. The record is from RNAcentral.